CCUACGGGGGGCUGCAGUGGGGAAUAUUGGACAAUGGGGGGAACCCUGAUCCAGCCAUGCCGUGUGUGUGAAGAAGGCCCUCGGGUUGUAAAGCACUUUCAGUGAGGAAGAACGCCUGGUGGUUAAUACCCAUCAGGAAAGACAUCACUCACAGAAGAAGCACCGGCUAACUCCGUGCCAGCAGCCGCGGUAAUACGGAGGGUGCGAGCGUUAAUCGGAAUUACUGGGCGUAAAGCGCGCGUAGGUGGCUUGAUAAGCCGGUUGUGAAAGCCCCGGGCUCAACCUGGGAACGGCAUCCGGAACUGUCAAGCUAGAGUGCAGGAGAGGAAGGUAGAAUUCCCGGUGUAGCGGUGAAAUGCGUAGAGAUCGGGAGGAAUACCAGUGGCGAAGGCGGCCUUCUGGACUGACACUGACACUGAGGUGCGAAAGCGUGGGUAGCAAACAGGAUUAGAUACCCUAGUAGUC
This 465-nucleotide ribosomal RNA is filed under the name Vreelandella stevensii. RNAcentral's name for it is "partial 16S ribosomal RNA". It matches the Rfam family "Bacterial small subunit ribosomal RNA", at positions 338 to 795 of the family's 1533-position model. The record is from RNAcentral. Lineage: Bacteria; Pseudomonadati; Pseudomonadota; Gammaproteobacteria; Oceanospirillales; Halomonadaceae.